CCUACGGGAGGCAGCAGUGGGGGAUAUUGCACAAUGGGGGAAACCCUGAUGCAGCGACGCCGCGUGUGGGAAGACGGUCCUCUGGAUUGUAAACCACUGUCCCCAGGGACGAAGAUGACGGUACCUGGGGAGGAAGCUCGGCCAACUACGGUCCAGCAGCCGCGGUAAUACCUAGGGAGCGAGCGUUUGCCGGAAUUACUGGGGGUAAAGGGAGCGUAGGCGGGGAUGCAAGUUGGGUGUCAAAACUACCGGCUCAACUGGUAGUCGCACUCAAAACUGCAGCUCUUGAGUGAAGUAGAGGCAGGCGGAAUUCCUAGUGUAGCGGUGAAAUGCGUAGAUAUUAGGAGGAACACCAGUGGCGAAGGCGGCCUGCUGGGCUUUUACUGACGCUGAGGCUCGAAAGUGUGGGGAGCAAACAGGAUUAGAUACCCCUGUAGUC
This 439-nucleotide ribosomal RNA is filed under the name uncultured bacterium. RNAcentral's name for it is "partial 16S ribosomal RNA". It matches the Rfam family "Bacterial small subunit ribosomal RNA", at positions 338 to 795 of the family's 1533-position model. The record is from RNAcentral.